CCCCUCCGCACCGCCCGGACACCCCCGCGGCGGACUACAGGUCCCAGCGGGCGACGCCCCAGCAUCCUCCGCGGGCGGGAUGGCCGCCCGCGGGGCGGGGGCAGAGGUGAGCGGCGCUGGGCCCCGGCGCCGCAGCCGGCCUUCCUCCCGCGCCGCGCGCCCCGGCGAGGGGCCCGGCUUCCUUGACAGCGGAUUCGUAGGCGCUUUUCCCGCCGCGACCGUGGGGUCGUCCCGGCAGAGCUUUGGCCCUGAUGGGCAACGGGCCGUUUCACCUUCCUGAGCCGGAAUCGCCCGGAGCGCUGCGGGGCGAGCGCCUCUGCUUUCCGACUGGCUCGCGGCCCAACUAGCAGGUCCCUGUGUCCCGACAGGUGCGACCCUGACCGCCCAUGCCUGCGGGCACCGGGAGGCGCGGCCUCCCCCAGGGCCUCCACCUCUGCUGGCUCUUCUGCGCUUUCACCGUAGAGCUCUGGUAAGGAGGCGGGGGCCGAGGGAGGCCGGCAGGGCCGGAGGAGAGCCGUCCCCACCUGGGGAGGGGGAUGCCUGGCCACGGACCGCUGCGGCAGGGGAGCCUGUUUUCCGGAUUCUAAUUUUUGCCCCUUCGCCCACCCGCUACAGCCGAGCAGAGGCUUCCGUGCGGGAGGAGAAGCAGUCAGGUGGGUGGCUGCCCGACCCCACGCCCCCGUGGUUUAUUGUUUUGCAUGUCUUCCCUACACACCCGGAGCUCGGACGGGAAAGGGUGGCACCGCACGGGACGAGGCCAGCGCUGGCCUGGGAUCUGGGUGCGUAGAGCUUCGGGGGCAAACGUUUUCUGAGUGGUCUGGGCCGGCAUUUCUUUCCUCUUUUAGUGAGCACCUCGACUUUGCCGUGCUGGCUGGGAGAAGAGUUCGUGGUCGCAGAAGAGUGUACUCCGUGUUCCAGUUUUCAGGCUGUGAGCAUCCCUCCCCUCCCCCGUUUUCCCCCAACAUCUAGCCAGUCCCCAAGUCUCAUUAAGCAUACCUUUGCAUCCUCUUUUCUUUCUCCUUGCAGUGUCAGUAUACGUCCAAAUCUGAACUUGUCUUCCCCCUGAAAACAUGUUCCUCUCUUUCCAAGUUAAUAACAGCGUUCAGCUGAUAACCAGGUUUUGUUCUGCUUUUGUUUUUUGUCUUGCUGUAUUGGGGAUUGAACCCAAUCCUACCAUCUAGCUCUCUAUCAUCUAGCCUCAUCCCCAGACCUUUUUUUAUUAUUUUGAGACAAGGUUUAAGUUGGCCAGGCUGGGCUGGAACUUGAGCUCUUCCUGCCUCAGGCUCCCAAGUUGCUGGAAUUACAGGCAUGCACCUCCAUGCCCUGUGGUUCUGUUCACUUUUAAUACACUAUGCUCUGGAAUCUGUCCUUAUGUCCUUCUACACUCUUACCCUGAAGUGUUUUUUCCAACACACAUUUCUAAUCAUGCAACCACCACCUUCAGCAUGCACAUCAGAGCUCUUUGUUAGCUCUGUUUUCUGGCCAGCUCUGACCAUGGCAUUUGGGCACUUGCCCUUUUGAAUGGCAACCUCUCUGUUUCUCCUGCUGCCUCUUCCUAACACAUGCUUUGGUUCUUUUCUCCCGGCAGAAAACCAUCCCUGAGUGUGGUUCCACAGGUUAUGUUGAGAAAAUUACAUGCAGCUCCUCUAAGAGAAAUGAGUUCAAAAGGUAAGGGCUUUUCUUUUCUUGUAGACUAAUUAUCUCCUUUCCUCCUGUGACUUCAUCCUGGAUAGCAUGACAUGUUGGAAAGAGGGAAUUUGGAGCUAAAUUACUUAAACCCAAGUCCUGGUUUUACUUCUCAGCCCUGUUAUUGGCCAUAUUUUCUCUUCAAUAACAUCAGCUAAUGUUAUCUUUGUUAUCUUACCAGAUGAUAUAAACACUUUAUAAGGCUGACUCUGUUUUCCUCUUUUUCUUUUGGCUGUUACCUCCUUGAUGGGGCUGAAGUAGAAGGGAAGUGGUAAGGAGAAGCUGUCUGGCCUUCCCUGGGAAUAACUGUUCCUUCCUAUCCUCAGCUGCCGCUCAGCUCUGAUGGAACAACACUUAUUCUGGAAAUUUGAAGGGGCUGUGGUGGGUGUGGCUUUGGUCUUCGCAUGCCUUGUCAUCAUCCGUCAGCGACAACUGGACAGAAAGGCUCUGGAAAAGGUCCGGAAGCAAAUUGAGUCCAUAUAGCUACAUUCCACCCUUUUAUCCUGGAUUUUACAGACCAUAUCUUAGAGAAAGUGAAAUGGACUGAUUUGCGCCUUUGGUUCUUAGGAAUCUUGUGGUGGUAACCCCUUCUCCCCAUCUUCCUCUCCAUGUCAUUAAUAAGCACAAUAAAAAAGAGUAAUUUGGUUUCUUUCUCCCUAUAGUAAUUUGUUUUGGGACAGGAAAUCAUGGGAGCAGAGAGAAAAGGGGGUGGCAAUCUCCCAAGUACCUACCUUCCCCCCUUUUACUACUUAUUUAAAACUUCUGGGAUAUAAUUUUAACUAGAAAAUUUAUUUCUUAGUCAAAACUUUUGUUUCCCUCAACCCUAUCCCCAAAGAAGAAAUAAAAUCACAGAUACAUAACAAAAGUA
RNAcentral lists this long non-coding RNA (2554 nucleotides) under Marmota monax (woodchuck). Lineage: Eukaryota; Metazoa; Chordata; Mammalia; Rodentia; Sciuridae. The record is from RNAcentral.